Molecule: ribosomal RNA, 492 nt
Filed under: uncultured bacterium
Lineage: Bacteria
Description: partial 16S ribosomal RNA
Rfam family: Bacterial small subunit ribosomal RNA
Source: RNAcentral
AGUGAACGCUGGCGGUAGGCCUAACACAUGCAAGUCGAACGGCAGCACAGUAAGAGCUUGCUCUUACGGGUGGCGAGUGGCGGACGGGUGAGGAAUACAUCGGAAUCUACUUUUUCGUGGGGGAUAACGUAGGGAAACUUACGCUAAUACCGCAUACGACCUACGGGUGAAAGCAGGGGAUCUUCGGACCUUGCGCGAUUGAAUGAGCCGAUGUCGGAUUAGCUAGUUGGCGGGGUAAAGGCCCACCAAGGCGACGAUCCGUAGCUGGUCUGAGAGGAUGAUCAGCGACACUGGAACUGAGACACGGUCCAGAGUCCUACGAGAGGCAGCAGUGGGGAAUGUUGGACAAUGGGCGCAAGCCUGAUCCAGCCAUACCGCGUGGGUGAAGAAGGCCUUCGGGUUGUAAAGCCCUUUUGUUGGGAAAGAAAAGCAGCAGGUUAAUACCCAGCUGUUCUGACGGUACCCAAAGAAUAAGCACCGGCUAACUUCGUG